GAGGUUUUGACCAACCACUCUUUGGUUCUGAAAAUUAUUAGACAAAAGACUUAAUAUAUUAUAGUUAUGAAAUUGAAAUCCUCCCAAAGAUUGUUAUAUACCAUUGUGAAAACACUUGACUCCUGAAUUCAACAUGGACUGACUGAAGGAACGUUGUUGUUCACUUGAAUGUCCGUUAAAACGAGUUUCUCGUAAGAAAGAGUCAUGUGAAUCGACUUGUUCUUCAUGAUAAUUAUGGGCUUGGUGUUGGUCCUAACAUGACCAAACAGUUGGGUUAUAAGCACACUAUCACCAUCAAUAGCGCUAUUAGCUUAGAUUAUGGUCCAUGUCAAAGUGUAGUAAUAACUGGAUUUAAUGCUAGUUAAUUAGAUUUGUGAUUAUUUAACUGUUGAAAACAUACUAAGGAGAUCAUUUUCAUUCAUCAUAUACACAUGGAUCAAUCCAAUAAACUAUUCAUGCGUCUUUCCCUGCAUUCAAUAAAUUUGGAAAUUAUUCUGCAUUUCAUUUAUAUCCAACGAUUUUAUCCUUGAUAAAUUAGUACACAAUAUUAUUUAAAAAUUCAAUUGUGGAAGAGAAAGCGAAGAAUAUACCAUUAAUGGAAGAUAUUGGUUGGGUGAAUCGGAGAAAUUUAUAAGAUUCAACAUUGGCGAUUCA
Molecule: long non-coding RNA, 654 nt
Filed under: Brassica napus (rape)
Lineage: Eukaryota; Viridiplantae; Streptophyta; Magnoliopsida; Brassicales; Brassicaceae
Description: long non-coding RNA (BNAP_LNC025137)
Source: RNAcentral